GCAAAAAUAGUUUAAUAUUGUAAAAACAUAACUGUUACGCGGUUAAAAUAGAGGUUCAAAUCCUCUUUUUUGCA
Molecule: transfer RNA, 74 nt
Filed under: Toxarium undulatum
Lineage: Eukaryota; Bacillariophyta; Thalassiosirophyceae; Ardissoneales; Ardissoneaceae
Description: tRNA-Val
Rfam family: tRNA
About the family: Transfer RNA (tRNA) molecules are approximately 80 nucleotides in length. Their secondary structure includes four short double-helical elements and three loops (D, anti-codon, and T loops).
Source: RNAcentral